Long non-coding RNA from Oreochromis niloticus (Nile tilapia), 2411 nucleotides. RefSeq lists it as uncharacterized. NCBI's taxonomy places the organism in Eukaryota, Metazoa, Chordata, Actinopteri, Cichliformes, Cichlidae. The record is from RefSeq and is a predicted model, not a curated record. The transcript has 4 exons.
UUUUGCUAAGAUGUGAUGCUACUGCUCCAUGUCUGAAAUACAUUACAGAAAGCCCAUGUCUCUGUCGGUGUGAGCAAGGGAUGCAGCUGCACUGACAGGGACAACUACAUAGCCUGAUGAAGCAGACAGAAGUGACAGCUCUGAUUGGUGGAUUCAAAUUGAGCAGAUCCAGGCUCUUUGACUCUCAUAGAUACAGCUGAAAAUAUAAAGCUGAAAAAAAAAAAAAACCCGGAAAAAGCCAAUGUCAGUGUUUGAAGUUUUUUAACUUCUAAUAACUUUACAGAAGUGUGUGUGUGUGUGUGUGUCUUUGUCUGUGCUUGUGUGACUCAAUUUUUAUUCGUUGGUGACCAGCAUCCAUUAGUGUAUUCAACUUGACCAGAUUCAGACUGAUUGACUGGCAUAGAAACACACAGGACACGUUUGUUUGUCCCUGUGUGCCCUUGUGUGUGUAUGUUUGUAUGUAUGUCUGUGUUUAUGCUUGCAUCCAUGUUUUUGCACAUUGUUUUCUGAAUAUGGGUUAUUUAUCACUGUGUGUGUUUGUCCCUAUUUGUAAACAUUGCUAGGCAUCUAAUUUUUGCCUUAGCUUUGUGUAUCUGCUGGCAGUUCCUCUGUAACAUUUCUAAUGUUUCUGACAAGUUUUCACAGUUGAACAACAACUAAUUUUUUGAGGAAACUUCAGCUUUUUGAAGCUGGCUGUUUUGCAUUUCCAAUAUUUCCGCUAAAUUAUUACUUUUAUGCUAAAUUAUUACUUUUCUGCUAAAUUAUACUAUUUCAGCUCCUAUGUUGCAUUUCUACUAUGUGUUACUAUUAUACUACUGUAUAUUAAGUUAUACUCUUACACCAUUUCUUCCUGGUUUUUAGGUUUGCGCUACAUAUUAACAUUUCUGCUGUAUUACAACACUUCUGCAAUGUUGUACUACUUCUUCCAAGUUACUAUGUUUCUGCUGAGUUACAAUAUUUCUGUAACUAACAUAAAUUUUAGCAGGCCUCAACCCGCCAUGCAUGUUAACCAGGUAAAAUAAAUAUUUAUGUAGAUAUUUUGCAAAUAUUUAUUAUUCAUUUUUUAGGAGCAUAGUGCUUUUUUCCAAAUUCAGGUGAAGGCCCUUUAUGCGCUGAAAGCCCAAAGGUGAUAUAAGGAUCAGUUUUUGUUUGAUACAUGGACAAUUCAAGUUCAGCUUUUCAAUUCAUUUAAGAGAGACCUUCAACUGGAUGUUUUUACUUUUUGUUAUUUUUAAGAGUUCAAAAUGUGUCCAUUACAUAAAUAAAAUUUCAUUUACUUUGUAGCAUUUCAUGGAUUUCAUAAGCAAAACAGUAUAGUUGUUUAUACAGAGUAUAAAGGUAAAAAACAAUGUGUGAAGUGUUAUCUUCAUUUCAGAUGUCAAAAAGUAUUUGUGGCUCCCAGUGUUUUCUUUUUCGUGCAAAUCGGGUCCAAAUGGCUCUUUGGGUCUUAAAUGUUGCUGACCCCUGGUUUAGAUGGUUGUCUUUAAAACCUUCACUGAAGAGUCUUGUUGGAGAAAGCCACACCUUUACCUCACUGCAGCAGGGGUGAACAAGUGGGUGCAAGUCUAUUUAGGUUAGAAUCCAUAUGAUUAUAACCAAUAUGUAUUAGAAUAAAAUAAAUAAAUGUGCAAUGAACAUGUCAGGAGUCACUGUUGAAAACCCUCAUGGCAGUGGGGUUAAAGUACCUCCUGAACCUCUGAUUCCUGCAGUGCAGCGAGGCGAGCCUCUGCAGCUCCUACUGUCCUGUGAGGAUGCUUAGGUGAACACCAACACCAGCCCCUUGGUUUUGUUGUUCAGGAGAAGACUGUUCUUAUUACUCCAGCCAGUUAAAUAAAUAUAUCAUAAAACAGUACAUUUUAACAUAAUGACCUUAUAUUUAUUCAUGACUUUUAACCAUAAUUUCAAAUUAAAAUAAUCAUGUUUGAAAUAUUUAUUCAACUUAUAGAAUUAAAUCUCUGCUAGUUGUUUUCUGUUCCAAAAAUAUCUAGUUUAAUACUAUUUAAAUUUACAUAUAUUUUUGUAAAUUACACAAAAUUGGCAUUUUCAAUGCCAAUGCCAUUACACAAAAUUGGCAUGGCGGAGUUUCCCACUACCCGUGAAUGCCUCUUAUUUUACGUCUCUGGCUGACUCCUGAAUCUCCUCCCACUCUCUGCUUGAUCCCUGCCGAGUGAACGAGAUCUUUGGUUUUGCCUUUGCUGACUGCUGAUCUGAUCGUCUCAAGUCUGGUGACCUGCUGCAGAAAACCCUCUCCCUCUAUCAUUAACAAGCAAUUCAGUCUGUCCUAUCACUCUCCCUCUCCCUGCUCCAUCUUUUUUGACAAGCCAUUCUAUCUUCUAUCAUUUCUCCGCCAUGAGCUCUAUCUAAGUUGACAAGCUUGAACCUGAGUUGAAACGCAAUCCUGUGACUUGAAA